UUUUUGUUUUGGGGUUCCAGGGAACAUAUAUUUAGUCUUACAAAUAAACUUCCUUUUAACUCACACAAGCUCUAGUUAGCUUCUGCUAUUUCCUUUCAACAUACUGUAUUACCUGCUUCCUGAGCAGGGUCCAUGAUGAGUUUGUGCACUAAGACUGAGUAACAUCUAGCACUGAGGAUUGACUGCUGGCAUGAGAUACACAGCUGAGUCCUGCAGCACUGUGGGCUGGAUCUCCAGGCAGCAGGACAUCUUGGAGACCGGGAGACUUCUUCAUCAAGGGAGCCUGGAAAGGAAGGAGAAAGAAGAUGGAGACAGAGCUGACAAGGGAGUUUGAUGACACAAGCAAAGGAAAAGCUAAGAACUAGGAGAUGACAAGAUCUGAGUAGGGAUUUACCUGCAGCCAGGAGACAAAGGAACAUAAAGCAGAUGGAUAUUGAGUACAUGACAGAGUUAGGGAAGAAACAGAUGCAGGUGGCUUUCUUUGAGGCUUCCCCAUCCCCCGUAAGCAGCUUCUCUGUGACGUGAUCACUUCACGGAAUCCAACAGACUUUGUUGUACUGCUCUGUACUUGACUCAAAAAUACUUCAUAGAAUAUGAGAAAGAGGGUUCACCCUAUCUCAGUUGGGUGAACCAUAUGAAAUUAUCACUUUGUAGGUGUCCUGAGGGUCUUUAGCAUCCUGGGACCUGUGAGUGAAGAAGGCAGAAUCUGCAUACAGCGCUAGGAGGAAGAUGGUAACACAGACCCAAAGAAAGCACUUUGAAUCAAGGCGUAGCAAUUCUGGAUGGAAUUUUUUGUGUUUUUGUUUUUGUAUUUACUUGUAUCCAGGAUUUACCUUCCUGAGGAUACAAAGAGUCACAGCACAGAAGAGCCAUGAGCAUAUGGCCAGUUUAGUACCUAACUGGGAUAUCUUCUUCCUCAAUGCUCUGAGUCUCCAUGGAAAGAAAAAAAAUCAGACUUUGGACCACCCAGGCCCUGGUAAUUUUUUUCUGGUGAUAUUAAUGUGCUUUUGGACUUCCAAAUGUUUGAGGUCCCUCUGACUUGGAACAAAAUCAGUCAUCUUCCCAAUGGCCCAGCCAUAAAAACCUCCAACACAGAAAUAGUAUAGGGUCAGGCUGGGUUUCCAGGGAAGCUCAUUUCAACAACUUCUCUAAUGUUCCUGAUAUAGUAGCAAUUUUCUUUCCCUAUAUCAGGGCAUUCAGUUUUUCCUAAUCAGCUUCUUCUUCCACUAUACCCCAUGAAGCCUCAGAGGUGCCCCACAGAGGACAGAUAGAUCUAGAUGGCCUUUGAGAUUUAUUUUCUUACUGUCUUUCCAGUAACUUAAGAGAGAAAUGGCUCAAUGAUCUGCAUUAGCUUACAGAUCAAGAUCCUCCUUUUUAGCAAAGCCAAGAAUUUUCUCUGACCAGGAAGAUCCCAUUAUUGCAUAGUCACAGAGAUAUACCCUGCCUUCUUGUCCCAAGAAAUACAUAGAAAAUUCAGGA
Molecule: long non-coding RNA, 1479 nt
Organism: Choloepus didactylus (southern two-toed sloth)
Lineage: Eukaryota; Metazoa; Chordata; Mammalia; Pilosa; Megalonychidae
Exons: 3
Source: RefSeq, a predicted model, not a curated record